AUAAUCACCGUUAAAAAAUAAAAUGAAAUACACAUAUAAAUGCAUAUAGUUUCUAUGAACAUUUUCAGUGACAAUGUUUAAAAUCAGUCAUAAAUCAUUAGGCAUGAAGCGAACUUCUCUGCUUGUAUAUCCGUGCUUUUAUUUUUUUAAAGUACGAUUGAAAUCAGAACACAUUAUAACAAGACUAUGGAAUAAAAACUUAUAAAAAACAUUAUUCUUCUAAUUAUUUUCGUGUAUAAUAUAGAUUUCCGAUAAUUAUUCUAUAUAAUAAACGAGUCGUCACAACUACUUCAUUAUUUAAACUGUGCAUUGAAGGUCAAUAAGUCGAUUCCUUGGUACGUUCUUGAAUUUUAAUAAGUUGAAAUAGAUAAUGCACAAUGUAACUAAACGCUGAAUACUUAUACACGUGUUUUUGUUUCUGAUAGCAUACAUGUACAUGUAUCUUUCAAUGAGUAUUUAAUAAAACAUUAAACCACAUUAUUUACAAUUAAUAGUAAAUGUAUUCAGGGUAUCCAGCAUUCUGUAAAACAAACCAGACGAAUAAUUACUGUAUUGGUAUCAAUAAUGUAACGAAAACUUUUUCAAUAUAACGGAACGACUUGAAAUCUAUAUAAAAGAAAGCGUUUAUUUUUUUGUAGCCUUGUUGGAAUGAUUUGAAGCAGAAAACUAACAGUAGAGUCAAUCAAUACAGCGAUGUUUGGGGUUAAAUAUACAGACAUGCGGUUGUAAGUUAAUUACGAUACUUUCUUACGUUAAUUUCAUUUUCUAAACUGUUAAACAUAUCAUGCAUAUGGCAAUAUAUAGUUUUAUAGUAUUACAGAAAUCCAUUAUGAAAUUGCCACGGCAAUGUUACAAAAAAUAUAAAAUUCGCAUGAUUAAAAUCAUUUAAAUAAGCACGAUGUAUUAAGAGAUACUGAAGGAAGAAAGUUUCAAAUGAGAAUAAAAUCUUAUAGUUGGAGAAAUAACGACCAAGUCAUGGCCGAAGAUAUUAGAUAUGAAAAAAAAAUGACAAUGAUUAAUCACAGGAGUGAGCAACACAACCCUUUGCAGGCUUCUAUUAUUCAUUGUUCAUGUAAAGAACGACAUUUUUAAAUUCAGUGCAAUGCACCGCUGUAUUAUUUGUAUGGUUAUCCAUUUUUUUUCUUUUGUUUCAGUUAGUAAAAUGGUUUGUCUUACAACUCUAUUAUCGUUUAAAAAAAUCCAAUUGACCAAACAAUUAUGAAUUGGCGUAUCAUAGUAAUAUGUAGCUGUCCUAUAUAUAAUAAUGAAAUUAUGUUUGCUUGCAGUUACUACACAUUUUUUAUUUUAAAACAGAUCAAUGUCAUUGACUAUUUUCACGUCUUUACUUACUCCUGCAAGCAAACAUGAACAAUACCUCACUUUAUAAAGUUAAAUAACAAAACUCCAAUUCCAGUAUAUUGGUCACCAACGUGUGAAUACAGUAAGCAGAUAUAAUAGGUACAAAUGUUACACAUUUGGGUACAGCAGUCAACAGUGUGUUACUUAAAUGAAUCAAUAGUCUAAAAAGACUAUGGGUAUUGUACAAAUGCGAAUGAUAAUGACGUUACAGUAGGAGUUUUAAAAUGUUGUAUAUAUUUCAUAACGAUACUACUGGAAGGAAUUGCAUGUUUUCUCAUUGGAACUGGAAUGUAGAGAAACUAUAUGAACUGAUACACAUUAUUUCUUAUUGAUUCUGGUAAAAAAAAGAAGAAUAGGUAUGAUUGCCAAUGAGACAACUCUCAACAAGAAACAAAAUGACAUAAAUUUUAACAAAUAUAAGCCACCAUACGGCCUUUAACAAUGCAUUCAAUAGUACAUUAAAUUAUUGGCUAAAUCCUCAUUCCGCUUUACAACUGUUCAAAUAUUCUUGUACUUAUAAAUGCUUUUCUAGUAAGCCAUUUUCUAUACAAUAUAAAGACAUGUUAACAUGUUAAUUUUGCUUUUAGUUUAGUUGACCACAGAUUGAAAAUGAAAACAACGAAACUGAAAAGUCAGUCAAAGAAUUGGAAUAACUAGAUGGGUUAAAACGCCUACUGAGCUUCUUACAAACAUGAAAUGCCCAGGCGCAGGGUCAAAACAUCGUAAACUUCGUUUUGUGUUU
RNAcentral lists this long non-coding RNA (2101 nucleotides) under Mytilus galloprovincialis (Mediterranean mussel). The record is from RNAcentral. Lineage: Eukaryota; Metazoa; Mollusca; Bivalvia; Mytilida; Mytilidae.